Molecule: ribosomal RNA, 253 nt
Filed under: uncultured bacterium
Lineage: Bacteria
Description: partial 16S ribosomal RNA
Rfam family: Bacterial small subunit ribosomal RNA
Source: RNAcentral
UACGAAGGGGGCUAGCGUUGCUCGGAAUCACUGGGCGUAAAGCGCACGUAGGCGGAUCGUUAAGUCAGGGGUGAAAUCCUGGAGCUCAACUCCAGAACUGCCUUUGAUACUGGCGACCUUGAGUUCGGGAGAGGUGAGUGGAACUGCGAGUGUAGAGGUGAAAUUCGUAGAUAUUCGCAAGAACACCAGUGGCGAAGGCGGCUCACUGGCCCGAUACUGACACUGAGGCACGAAGGCCAGGGGAGCAAACGGG